GGUUACUGCUAUCGGUGUUCGCCUAAGCCAUGCGAGUCAUAUGUUCGUAAGAACAUGGCGUACUGCUCAGUAACACGUGGAUAACCUGCCCUUGGGUCCGGCAUAACCCCGGGAAACUGGGGAUAAUUCCGGAUAACGCAUAUAUGCUGGAAUGCUUUAUGCGUAAAAUGGAUUCGUCUGCCCAAGGAUGGGUCUGCGGCCUAUCAGGUAGUAGUGGGUGUAAUGUACCUACUAGCCUACGACGGGUACGGGUUGUGAGAGCAAGAGCCCGGAGAUGGAUUCUGAGACAUGAAUCCAGGCCCUACGGGGCGCAGCAGGCGCGAAAACUUUACAAUGCGGGAAACCGUGAUAAGGGGACACCGAGUGCCAGCAUCCUAUGCUGGCUGUCCGGGUGUGUAAAAUACACCUGUUAGCAAGGGCCGGGCAAGACCGGUGCCAGCCGCCGCGGUAACACCGGCGGCCCGAGUGGUGAUCGUGAUUAUUGGGUCUAAAGGGUCCGUAGCCGGUUUGGUCAGUCCUCCGGGAAAUCUGACAGCUUAACUGUUAGGCUUUCGGAGGAUACUGCCAGACUUGGAACCGGGAGAGGUAAGAGGUACUACAGGGGUAGGAGUGAAAUCUUGUAAUCCCUGUGGGACCACCUGUGGCGAAAGCGUCUUAC
RNAcentral lists this ribosomal RNA (658 nucleotides) under uncultured archaeon. RNAcentral describes it as "bacterial SSU rRNA". It matches the Rfam family "Archaeal small subunit ribosomal RNA", at positions 21 to 680 of the family's 1478-position model. The record is from RNAcentral.